This 1393-nucleotide ribosomal RNA is filed under the name uncultured Bordetella sp. Its description in RNAcentral is "partial 16S-23S ribosomal RNA intergenic spacer". It matches the Rfam family "Bacterial small subunit ribosomal RNA". Lineage: Bacteria; Pseudomonadati; Pseudomonadota; Betaproteobacteria; Burkholderiales; Alcaligenaceae. The record is from RNAcentral.
UUCAGCUGGUGGGAUGCUUUACAUGCAAGUCGAACUAUGUUACACGGACUUUAACAGUCAAAAAGAGUGGAAAGAAUCACAGUAGUGAAGGUAUCGAAUCGUUCAGUAGGGGGAUAACUACGCGAAAGCGCAGCUUAACAUCGAUACGCCCUUCGGGAAAGCAAGAACCUUCAAAUUUUUGCAGAAACUGUCAGGGAUGGGCCGAUAUCGGAUUAGCUAGUUGGUGGGUAAGGCUCACCAAGAUCCGUAUCGGUUCGGCGGAGACGACCAGCCACACUGGGACUGAGACACGGCCCAGACUCUGAGUAAGAGGCGGGAAAUUCGACAAUGGGGAAACCCUGAUCCAGCCAUCCCGUGCGAUGAAGGCCUCAAUAAAGCAGAGGUAAAGAAACGGCACAGGAUAAUACCCAACAACUGGACGUACCUGCAAUGGAACGGCCGGUCCUGCCGUGCCACUGGCAGCGGUAAUACGUAGGGUGCAAGCAAGAACGGAAUACUGGGCGUAAAGCGUGCGCAGGUUCGGAAAGAAAGAUGUGAAAUCCCAGAGCUUAACUUUGGAAACUGCAUUUAAUCAUCACGAGCCAAGGUGUCAGAGGGAGGCGGAAUUCCGCGUGGUGAAAUGCGUAGAUAUGCGGAGGACCGAUGAUGGCGAAGGCAGCCUCCUGGACACUGUCACGACGAAAGCGAGGAGCAAACACAGGAUCAGGAUACCCUGGUAGUCCACGCCCUAAACGAUGUCAACUACUUUUCGGGGCCUUCGGGCCUUGCAGGCGAAGCAACGCGUGGCUGACCGCCUGGGGAGUACGGUCGCAAGAUUAAAACUCAAAGGAAUUGACGGGGGGACCCGCACAAGCGGUGGAUGCGAUGUGGAUUAAUUCGAUGCAACGCGAAAACCUUACAUCGUUCCGGAUACCUGGAAUCCCGAAGAGAUUUGGGAGGCUCAUAGCCGGAACACAGGUGCUGCAUGUCGUCAGCUCGUAAGCCGUGAGCGUUAAGUCCCGCAUCGAAAAGAACUUUGUCACAGUUGCUACGAAAGGGGCACUCGCAGAGACUGUUGCGCACAAACCGGAGGAAGGUGGGGAUACGCUGUCCUCAGGUAAUUUACAGGUGAGAAGUCAGCGCCAGACAAUGACGGGAGGGACGCCAACCGCGAGGGGGUGGGACAAUCCUGCAGAGCCCUGAACGUAGUCCGGAUCGCAGUCUGCAACUCGACUGCGUGAAGUCGGAAUCGCUAGAAACGUGAUCUUCAGAGCACAGCCGCGGUGAACACGUUCCUGGCCCGCACACUGCCCGUCACACAUGGGAGUGGGUUUUACCAGAAGCUGGUUAGCUCAACUGUAAGGAGGGCGAUUACCACGGUAGGAUUCAUGACUGGGGUGUCGUAACAAGGUAA